Molecule: long non-coding RNA, 236 nt
Filed under: Homo sapiens (human)
Lineage: Eukaryota; Metazoa; Chordata; Mammalia; Primates; Hominidae
Description: non-protein coding lnc-GPR157-3:1
Source: RNAcentral
GCAGUUGGCCAGAUGCCGAACCACCACCAGGGGUGGUUGGCAAACUGCAGCCACCCAAGGGGCUGGAGUAGUUUUCAAACAGUUUGACUCUUUUCAUCAACACCAGCACCACAUUAUCCCAGGAGGAAAAGCAGACGCGUGACAGAGUCAGAGAGCAGGCAUAGAGUGCUGUGGCAGUCAGCCAGUGCCCACAUCAACACCAAGGAGAGUCCUGCGGGUGCUGUGCAAGGCCGGGG